AUCCUACGGGGGGCAGCAGUGGGGGAUAUUGGACAAUGGGGGAAACCCUGAUCCAGCGAUGCCGCGUGAGGGAAGAAGGUUUUCGGAUUGUAAACCUCUGUGGAGGGGGACGAUAAUGACGGUACCCCUUUAGGAAGCCACGGCUAACUACGUGCCAGCAGCCGCGGUAAUACGGAGGAUGCGAGCGUUAUCCGGAUUUAUUGGGUUUAAAGGGUGCGCAGGCGGAAUGUCAAGUCAGCGGUAAAAUUUCGGGGCUCAACCCCGUCGUGCCGUUGAAACUGGCGUUCUUGAGUGAGCGAGAAGUA
This 305-nucleotide ribosomal RNA is filed under the name uncultured bacterium. RNAcentral's name for it is "bacterial SSU rRNA". It matches the Rfam family "Bacterial small subunit ribosomal RNA", at positions 335 to 659 of the family's 1533-position model. The record is from RNAcentral.